AGAGGGGUAGUUUAUAAAUAAAAUUUGGGCUUUGGGAGUCUAAGAAGCCGCUUAUAGUGGUCCUUUCUA
This 69-nucleotide transfer RNA is filed under the name Ophiopholis mirabilis. Its description in RNAcentral is "tRNA-Pro". Lineage: Eukaryota; Metazoa; Echinodermata; Ophiuroidea; Amphilepidida; Ophiactidae. The record is from RNAcentral.